This is a small nucleolar RNA of Cavia aperea (Brazilian guinea pig), 149 nucleotides long. The record is from Ensembl. Lineage: Eukaryota; Metazoa; Chordata; Mammalia; Rodentia; Caviidae.
UGUGCACAUUGUUAGAGCUUGGAGUUGAGGCUGCUGACUGGCCUAUGGACUCUCAAGUGUAGGUAGUGUGCUACACGAGGGGCAAGGUUUUCGCUAACACUCCAUUCCAGCCCCGUGGGUGGAGCUUGAUAGUAGUCCUUGCUACAGAU